UACGUAGGGACCAAGCGUUGUCCGGAAUCAUUGGGCGUAAAGAGCGUGUAGGCGGCUUGUUAAGUCUUGCGUGAAAUCUCGGGGCUCAACCCCGAGCGGUCGUGAGAAACUGGCAGGCUAGAGUGCGGGAGAGGAGAGUGGAAUUCCUGGUGUAGCGGUGAAAUGCGCAGAUAUCAGGAAGAACACCCGUGGCGAAGGCGGCUCUCUGGUACGUGACUGACGCUGAGACGCGAAAGCGUGGGGAGCAAACAGG
This 253-nucleotide ribosomal RNA is filed under the name uncultured bacterium. RNAcentral describes it as "partial 16S ribosomal RNA". It matches the Rfam family "Bacterial small subunit ribosomal RNA", at positions 524 to 776 of the family's 1533-position model. The record is from RNAcentral.